Molecule: ribosomal RNA, 253 nt
Filed under: uncultured bacterium
Lineage: Bacteria
Description: partial 16S ribosomal RNA
Rfam family: Bacterial small subunit ribosomal RNA
Source: RNAcentral
UACAGAGGGUGCGAGCGUUGUUCGGAAUUACUGGGCGUAAAGGGUGCGUAGGCGGGUCUUUAAGUCAGGGGUGAAAUCCUGGAGCUCAACUCCAGAACUGCCUUUGAUACUGAAGGUCUUGAGUUCGGGAGAGGUGAGUGGAACUGCGAGUGUAGAGGUGAAAUUCGUAGAUAUUAGGAAGAACACCAGUGGCGAAGGCGGCUCACUGGUCCGGUACUGACGCUGAGGCACGAAGGCCAGGGGAGCAAACGGG